UUGUUGUCUACAGAUUAGAUAGGACGUGCAGACAAGCACAGAUUAAGUUAGAUUGAUUGUAAACAUUUAUAUGUGCUUUCGUGUUAAGAACCUCAAUCGUACUUGAACAUAUCGCUUUGAUAAAGUUUUUUUUUAGAAAUGCUUUAUAGAAAAAUGAUUUGGACUUUACGCAUAAUUAACAGUAUUAAAUCUGGAGUAUGCCGUGCGAGUACAUGGGCUGAUUUUAGCAAGGUUUCGGACGACUAUGACAAAUUUCGUAUACCAGUCGGCAGGGAUUUUAUAGCCGGAAUGAGUCAGUUGUACACCGGAAAACGUUUACAGGAUCUACACAUUCUUGACAUUGGCUGCGGCACUGGUCAGUACGCUAAGGAGAUGCUGGAUCUCGGAGUCGGUAGAAUAUCGUUGAUUGAUGCCUCACCUGAUAUGCUGAACGCGGCAAAAUAUAAACUGGCCAAUGAAAUUGAGCAAGGACGUGUACAAUGUUUGGAAACGAUCAAGGCACCUCCUUUGCCAUUCAACAGCGAUUGCUUUGAUGUGAUUCUUCUGACUGCGGUAUUACCCCACCUUGACUGUGCAGGUGACAAAACAUACCAAAACGCAGUGAAGAUGUUAGAGGAAGCCAACAGAGUACUGACUAAAAAUGGUACCAUUGUCAUUACCACUUCAUUUUUUAGCACGUUUUCCCGUUAUUGGUUCUGUAAAGUGUGUCCAGAACUAUGCCAAAGGCUAUGUGAAUAUUUCCCGAGUGCAAGUGAUUUUGAAAUUAUGUUUACCAGAGCGAACCUGAAAUGCGUUCAGAAAUUUACAGUCAUCGGCGCUGGAUUUAUGAGCUACGAGGGAAUGGUCAACUCUGAAGGUUAUGUUGAUCAAGCAUGGAUUAAUAGUGCAUGUUGCUUUGACUUAGCGACCGAGGAGGAGCUAACUGCAAUUCAAGAUAAAGUGCACACUCUGUACCAAAAUGGAAAGUGGAAAGAAUGGUUAGCAGAAAACGAUUCAACCAAUGAGCUUGGCAUCGCCACAUUUUUUGUCUGCCAGCGAAAGGAUAAUGAGGGACAGGCGCAAUGAACGCACAUUGAGAAGGGAUAUUCGAGGAUAUCAAAAUAAUCUGGAGAUGUUUUACCUACACGUGUGCAAGCAGCCCACCACCAACCGCCCGCACUCUCGCCAACUCUAUGUGAUCCUGACUCCACAUCUCACGCUGAAAUCUAAUAAGAGAUCCCCAACGAGGUCCACGCUUCCGAGUACUCUCUGAACGUGGAUGCGAGAGGAUGUUCCACCCCAACAUCCGCUGGCAGACGCCCCAAUCGGAACACCUCUUAACAUCCGCGAAGUGUCACCUCCAAAGACUGGAGUGCUUCCGGUAUAUACAUGUAAAGAAGCAGUUACUGUAUAAAUCGCGUGGACAGAUGGAAGAGCAAAUAUGAACGAAGAAUUUCUUAAUCUAUAGAUUCUGAGACCUACUAGCAUUUCAAGGACACUUCGUUGCUUACACACAACGUAAGAUCAAAUACAACUGA
Mya arenaria is the source of this 1517-nucleotide RNA transcript. It is a transcript of the gene named demethylmenaquinone methyltransferase-like, with no coding region annotated. NCBI's taxonomy places the organism in Eukaryota, Metazoa, Mollusca, Bivalvia, Myida, Myidae. The record is from RefSeq and is a predicted model, not a curated record. The transcript is spliced from 6 exons.